UACGUAGGGACCAAGCGUUGUUCGGAUUUACUGGGCGUAAAGGGCGCGUAGGCGGCUUACAUAGUCAGGCGUGAAAUUCCUGGGCUCAACCUGGGGGCUGCGUUUGAUACGUGUAGGCUUGAGUUCGGAAGAGGGUCGUGGAAUUCCCAGUGUAGAGGUGAAAUUCGUAGAUAUUGGGAAGAACACCGGUGGCGAAGGCGGCGCUCUGGACCGAGACUGACGCUGAGGCGCGAAAGCGUGGGGAGCAAACAGG
This 253-nucleotide ribosomal RNA is filed under the name uncultured bacterium. Its description in RNAcentral is "partial 16S ribosomal RNA". It matches the Rfam family "Bacterial small subunit ribosomal RNA", at positions 524 to 776 of the family's 1533-position model. The record is from RNAcentral.